UUACAGCUCAAAUGAGAUAGUUGCUGCAGCUAUGGUAGCGGCUCAUAUUUCUGAUCUGUUUAGACGUUCCAAGGCUUGCACGCAGGCUCUUUCGAUCUUAAUACGGUGUAAGUGGGAUAAUGAAAUCCACUCCAGAGCGUCUUCACUAUAUAACCUCAUUGAUAUUCAUAGCAAAGUUGUUGCAUCAAUUGUCAACAAGGUGCAAGCUCUUUCGAUCUUAAUACGGUGUAAGUGGGAUAAUGAAAUCCACUCCAGAGCAUCUUCACUAUAUAACCUCAUUGAUAUUCAUAGCAAAGCUGUUGCAUCAAUUGUCGACAAGGCCGAACCGUUGGAAUCACAUCUAAUACCUGAACCUGUUAUUAGGAAAAGAAGCUCAUGCUUGAAUGGGAAAAAACAUAAUAAAUAUAGCAAUUGCAACUGC
This 421-nucleotide long non-coding RNA is filed under the name Nicotiana benthamiana. Its description in RNAcentral is "long non-coding RNA (NBEN_LNC016018)". Lineage: Eukaryota; Viridiplantae; Streptophyta; Magnoliopsida; Solanales; Solanaceae. The record is from RNAcentral.